Molecule: transfer RNA, 82 nt
Filed under: Caudoviricetes sp.
Lineage: Duplodnaviria; Heunggongvirae; Uroviricota; Caudoviricetes
Description: tRNA-Tyr
Rfam family: tRNA
About the family: Transfer RNA (tRNA) molecules are approximately 80 nucleotides in length. Their secondary structure includes four short double-helical elements and three loops (D, anti-codon, and T loops). Further hydrogen bonds mediate the characteristic L-shaped molecular structure. tRNAs have two regions of fundamental functional importance: the anti-codon, which is responsible for specific mRNA codon recognition, and the 3' end, to which the tRNAs corresponding amino acid is attached (by aminoacyl-tRNA synthetases). tRNAs cope with the degeneracy of the genetic code in two manners: having more than one tRNA (with a specific anti-codon) for a particular amino acid; and 'wobble' base-pairing, i.e. permitting non-standard base-pairing at the 3rd anti-codon position.
Source: RNAcentral
GGGUAGGUAGCAAAUCGGCAACUGCACCGGACUGUAAAUCCGGCGACUUACGUCACACUGGGGUCGGCACCCAGACUGCCCA